This 276-nucleotide long non-coding RNA is filed under the name Homo sapiens (human). RNAcentral describes it as "long non-coding RNA NONHSAT236315". Lineage: Eukaryota; Metazoa; Chordata; Mammalia; Primates; Hominidae. The record is from RNAcentral.
GCAGAAAUGAGGAUACAAUGAAGACCUGGAAGAAAGAGUUUGAAAGAGAGAGCUAGAGACUAAGUAAUAACAAAGUGUAAGACAGAUGAAAAUUUAACCAGAUUCCAGAAUAAUUAAGAGAAAUGACACUAGCUCAGGUGUGUGGGGAUCCCAGUAACUCUGAGGUUGCAACCUCUCCAUGAUCUCUGUAGGGGCUUCUUCAAGAGCUAGAAUCGCGGACUUUCAGUCCACAAUCUGCAGACCACAGUCUGUAGACCAGCUCCAGGCAAGGCGUGG